UCCACCCUAGAGUGGCAGUCUCGGUAGAAAAUUUAACUACCGAUAGGGGUUACGCUCGUUGCGGGACUGAACCCAACAUCUCACGACACGAGCUGACGACAGCCAUGCAGCACCUGUUCAUGUGCCCCGAAGGGAGCCCUCUUUCGAAGGAUGUCACAUGUAUGUCAAACCCUGGUAAGGUUCUUCGCGUUGCAUCGAAUUAAACCACACGCUCCGCUGCUUGUGCGGGUCCCCGUCAAUUCCUUUGAGUUUUAACCUUGCGGUCGUACUCCCCAGGCGGACCACUUAUCGCGUUAGCUACAACACACAAAGGGUCGAUCUCCAUGCGUCUAGUGGUCAUCGUUUACAGCUAGGACUAC
Molecule: unclassified non-coding RNA, 359 nt
Filed under: uncultured Chloroflexota bacterium
Lineage: Bacteria; Bacillati; Chloroflexota
Description: uncultured Chloroflexi bacterium contains 16S-23S intergenic spacer region
Source: RNAcentral